Pygocentrus nattereri (red-bellied piranha) is the source of this 661-nucleotide long non-coding RNA. Lineage: Eukaryota; Metazoa; Chordata; Actinopteri; Characiformes; Serrasalmidae. The record is from Ensembl.
CUCCUACCUUAGUUUGUCUGAUUGACGUGUCACUGCAGCAGAUGGGUCAGCUUGAAAAUCCUCUUAGCAACUUUCUGCUGAUGGUGAUUCAUUGAGUAAAGCCCUACACUUUCUCAUCACUAGAUUAGAGGCUCCACUCUGUAGACUAUCAAUGUAUUGUAGGCCUUGGCAUAGCCACGGAACUUUUGGAACUCAGUAUUUGGUGGAGCUGAAAUUUUAGACUGAAACAUGUCUACUGACAAGAAGCCCAAGAAGAAGAAGGCGGAGUCUACUGUAGCAGAGACCAAUGGGACAGAAGCUAAACCGAAAAAAACUAAGAGUAAAAAAAAUGGAGAAUUGUCCACAGAGAACAGCCCGGCUGCUCAAAGUAAGACAGAGCUUUAAGCCCACAGUGUUUGUCUUUCAUGGUACCUUUGCAAUAAAUCUGCCUAAACUCUGAAGCACGAAAUCCUAACUUUGGCACAAAAUCACUGAAACAGAUGGCGAGAAGGUGAAGAAAAAGAAAACGGAGAAGGAGAAAGAAAAGGAAUCGCUGCCAAAAGAAAAAGCUGAACCCAAAAAGAAAGCCAAAAGUGCCCCAAAGAAGAAGAAGAGUGAGUUCAUUUACUGUCUCCCUUAUAAUAACAGUACAAACUUGUGCUACCUGCAAAAUAAAUCUCAC